Molecule: long non-coding RNA, 760 nt
Filed under: Marmota marmota marmota (Alpine marmot)
Lineage: Eukaryota; Metazoa; Chordata; Mammalia; Rodentia; Sciuridae
Description: lncRNA (ENSMMMG00000002208.1)
Source: RNAcentral
GGUUGACUCACAGGCAAGUUAAUGAACAACCUUAGACUUUGGGUCAUGAAAUGUUGUCAAGAAAAUUCAUAUUACACACACGUUUAUGUUACUGAGCUGAACCCCAGUAGAACCCUUUAUACUGAAUUUCAACUCCACUGCCACCUCCAGUAUGUUUUCCUCUACAACCUUCUUGCAGAAAUCUUUGUAUCUGUUUUUAAAGGGGCUGCCAAAUUCUGAACAUCAUUAUGCAUUUCCAUAUAAUAUCUUGCUACUUGAUAGCACAUUGAUCCAAAGAGUUUAAAGACAGAAAUAAUCACAUUUUUUUAAUCUUCCUGCAUUUUUGAUUGCCACCAUGACAGUGCCAAACAUACUCCUUUAUUAGCAGAGAAAGCCACACAGGAAUGAAUCAAUACCCAGUACGACACAACUCCGAUGGGUGUCACUCCAGCAGAGGAGUCCUGGGAGCUGCCAAUUACGGUCUGAUGCAAUGUUUGGGAAAGAGCUGCAGAGUACACAUGACUCAACACAAUGUGACGAUUUGCAUUCCUAUCUCUUGGGAAGUUGUACUUAUCAGCACCACCAAGUACCAUGCGGUCAGCAAGAGAGCUGGGCUGAGUGUGUCAUUGGAGAAUUAAAAAGGAAUUAAAAACCAAGACGGGGAUCUGGGGAGAAUGUAAAGAAGAGUUCCAUCACCACAGCAGAUGCCCCUGGAGGAGGGCUGAGCCUUUGUCAAUGCUACACCAAUAAAGGCACCUUUAGGAAAAUGACUGGAAGAAAU